This 513-nucleotide ribosomal RNA is filed under the name uncultured bacterium. RNAcentral describes it as "partial 16S ribosomal RNA". It matches the Rfam family "Bacterial small subunit ribosomal RNA", at positions 28 to 523 of the family's 1533-position model. The record is from RNAcentral.
GAUGAACGCUGGCGGCGUGCCUAAUACAUGCAAGUCGAGCGGACCAAAGAGAGCUUGCUCUCUGAGGUUAGCGGCGGACGGGUGAGUAACACGUGGGUAACCUGCCUGUAAGACGGGGAUAACUUCGGGAAACCGAAGCUAAUACCGGAUGAUAAAGAGAAACGCCUGUUUCUUUUUUGAAAGUCGGCCUUGUGCUGACGCUUACAGAUGGGCCCGCGGCGCAUUAGCUAGUUGGUGAGGUAACGGCUCACCAAGGCGACGAUGCGUAGCCGACCUAGGAGGGUGAUCGGCCACACUGGGGCUGAGACACGGCCCAGACUCCUACGGGAGGCAGCAGUAGGGAAUCUUCGGCAAUGGACGAAAGUCUGACCGAGCAACGCCGCGUGAGCGAUGAAGGCCUUCGGGUCGUAAAGCUCUGUUGUCAGAGAAGAACAAGUACCGGAGUAACUGCCGGUACCUUGACGGUACCUGACCAGAAAGCCACGGCUAACUACGUGCCAGCCGCCGCAGUAA